Molecule: ribosomal RNA, 510 nt
Filed under: uncultured bacterium
Lineage: Bacteria
Description: partial 16S ribosomal RNA
Rfam family: Bacterial small subunit ribosomal RNA
Source: RNAcentral
GACGAACGCUGGCGGCGUGCUUAACACAUGCAAGUCGAACGAAGAGCGAUGGAAGCUUGCUUCUAUCAAUCUUAGUGGCGAACGGGUGAGUAACGCGUAAUCAACCUGCCCUUCAGAGGGGGACAACAGUUGGAAACGACUGCUAAUACCGCAUACGAUCUAAUCUCGGCAUCGAGGAUAGAUGAAAGGUGGCCUCUACAUGUAAGCUAUCACUGAAGGAGGGGAUUGCGUCUGAUUAGCUAGUUGGAGGGGUAACGGCCCACCAAGGCGAUGAUCAGUAGACGGUCUGAGAGGAUGGACGGCCACAUUGGGACUGAGACACGGCCCAGACUCCUACGGGAGGCAGCAGUGGGGAAUCUUCCGCAAUGGACGAAAGUCUGACGGAGCAACGCCGCGUGAGUGAUGACGGCCUUCGGGUUGUAAAGCUCUGUUAAUCGGGACGAAAGGCCUUCUUGCGAAUAGUGAGAAGGAUUGACGGUACCGGAAUAGAAAGCCACGGCUAACUACGUG